This 253-nucleotide ribosomal RNA is filed under the name uncultured bacterium. RNAcentral describes it as "partial 16S ribosomal RNA". It matches the Rfam family "Bacterial small subunit ribosomal RNA", at positions 524 to 776 of the family's 1533-position model. The record is from RNAcentral.
UACGUAGGGUGCAAGCGUUAAUCGGAAUUACUGGGCGUAAAGGGCGCGUAGGCGGCCUUCUAAGUCGAACGUGAAAUCCCCGGGCUCAACCCGGGAACUGCGUCCGAUACUGGGAGGCUUGAAUCCGGGAGAGGGAUGUGGAAUUCCAGGUGUAGCGGUGAAAUGCGUAGAUAUCUGGAGGAACACCGGUGGCGAAGGCGGCAUCCUGGACCGGUAUUGACGCUGAGGCGCGAAAGCCAGGGGAGCAAACGGG